This 497-nucleotide ribosomal RNA is filed under the name uncultured bacterium. RNAcentral describes it as "partial 16S ribosomal RNA". It matches the Rfam family "Bacterial small subunit ribosomal RNA", at positions 28 to 507 of the family's 1533-position model. The record is from RNAcentral.
GAUGAACGCUGGCGGCGUGCCUAACACAUGCAAGUCGAACGGACGGACGCGAAGCUUGCUGCUCGGAGGGUAGCGGCGGCCGGGGGGGUAACAAGUGGAUAGCCUCCCUAUCAGACUUGGUUAACUUCGGGAAACCGGAGCUAAUACCGCAUGAUAUUUUGAACCGCUUGGUUCAAGGGUGAGGCACGGUCUUGCUGUCACUUGUAGAUGGAUCCGCGCUGCAUUAGCUAGUUGGUGAGGUAACGGCUUACCAAGGCGACGAUGGAUAGCCGGCCUGAGAGGGUGAUCGGCCACACUGGAACUGAGACACGGUCCAGACGCCUACGGGAGGCAGCAGUAGGGAAUCUUCCGCAAUGGGCGAAAGCCUGACGGAGCAACGCCGCGUGAGGGAUGAAGGUCUUCGGAGCGUAAAACGCUUCUAUUAGGGAAGAACAAAUGUGUAAUUAACUGUGCACAGCUUGACGGUACCUAAUCAGAAAGCCCCGGCUAACUACGUG